Molecule: non-coding RNA, 72 nt
Organism: Pangasianodon gigas (Mekong giant catfish)
Lineage: Eukaryota; Metazoa; Chordata; Actinopteri; Siluriformes; Pangasiidae
Source: the annotation of a GenBank genome assembly
UCCUUGGAGAACUAGUGGUUAGGCCUCAGUGCUCUCGCCGCUGCAGCCCGGGUUCGAUUCCCCGCCAGGGAA